Molecule: microRNA precursor, 103 nt
Filed under: Marmota monax (woodchuck)
Lineage: Eukaryota; Metazoa; Chordata; Mammalia; Rodentia; Sciuridae
Source: RNAcentral
AGUGCAAUAACUGGGUCAAAUGAUGGUUCUAAUCCUAGUUUUUAGAGGAAUCUCCAUAUUGCUUUCCAGAGUGGUUACAUCAAUUUGCAGUCCCACCAACAAU